This 259-nucleotide unclassified non-coding RNA is filed under the name uncultured fungus. RNAcentral describes it as "partial contains 5.8S ribosomal RNA, internal transcribed spacer 2, and large subunit ribosomal RNA". The stretch from base 1 to 52 matches the Rfam family "5.8S ribosomal RNA", at positions 103 to 154 of the family's 154-position model. The record is from RNAcentral. Lineage: Eukaryota; Fungi. RNAcentral also lists the same sequence under 1 other name.
AACGCACAUUGCGCCCUUUGGUAUUCCAAAGGGCAUGCCUGUUCGAGCGUCAUUUGUACCCUCAAGCUUUGCUUGGUGUUGGGCGUCUUUUGUCUUUGGCCUCGCCCAAAGACUCGCCUUAAAACGAUUGGCAGCCGGCCUACUGGUUUCGCAGCGCAGCACAUUUUUGCGCUUGCAAUCAGCAAAAAGGACGGCAAUCCAUCAAGACUACAUUUUUACGUUUGACCUCGGAUCAGGUAGGGAUACCCGCUGAACUUAA